CUCCACCGCGCUGGUCUUUUGCCGAGAUCUCGCCUCUGCGCUGACAUAAUCUCGACAAUUAGCGUCGAAUUUCGAUGCGAAUUCCACGGCGCUACAUUCUAAAGGCGCCUGAAAGGAUAUGCGGAAAACCAUAGCUUUUCGCUCCAAAGGCUUUGGACGGUCCUUUUAAACAAUGCAAACGUGCCUCGAGGGAGGAGAAUCCAGAAAAAAAUCUGGGGACUGACUCGUUCCUCCGAAUAGAAAUCCCGUGAUUCA
Molecule: long non-coding RNA, 255 nt
Organism: Selaginella moellendorffii
Lineage: Eukaryota; Viridiplantae; Streptophyta; Lycopodiopsida; Selaginellales; Selaginellaceae
Exons: 3
Source: RefSeq, a predicted model, not a curated record